RNAcentral lists this ribosomal RNA (218 nucleotides) under uncultured bacterium. RNAcentral's name for it is "partial 16S ribosomal RNA". It matches the Rfam family "Bacterial small subunit ribosomal RNA", at positions 1283 to 1500 of the family's 1533-position model. The record is from RNAcentral.
CGGUCUCAGUUCGGACUGAAGGCUGAAAUUCGCCUUCACGAAGUCGGAAUUGCUAGUAAUGGCAGGUCAGCAUACUGCCGUGAAUACGUUCCCGGGCCUUGUACACACCGCCCGUCACACCAUGAGAGUCGGGAACACCCGAAGUCCGUAGCCUAACCGCAAGGGGGGCGCGGCCGAAGGUGGGUUCGAUAAUUGGGGUGAAGUCGUAACAAGGUACC